UUGAGAUUUUAUAUUUUAUUUCAAUUAUUUAAAGUUCAUUUUGCGUUUAUUUACAUUAACCACAAGCGGACGAUUUACAUCCGAUGCGCAUUAUAGCAGUUAAAUGAAAGUUUGAAUACAUCCUUUUUCCGUUUGUAGUAAAGCUACAUACAAUCAGUCUCUUUAGCGCUGAAGAACAUCGGAAGGCUCAGGAUUCAACUUCCAGGUUUGUGACAUUCUGCCAUGUACCACGAAAAAGUCAGAGCAGAUUACAUAAAUUAUGUGGAAAAUGUUAAUCAAUGGUACGAAUAUUUCAAAGAAAUAAGCAAACCUCGUUCUUAUGAAAUGCUUCUGGAAUGGAAAACCGUAGCUUAUGUUUUUCGGUCAAUUGUUCAACUUUUCGAUCCAUAUAAUUGUUGCAAGAGCAGACUUUGACUUCAGAACUUGAUUCGAGUGCGACGUAAGGAGAGACAUUAAAAUGUCAGCAUGGUAGGCAUUCUAGUGCCUGGCUGCCUCAUGCAACAAGGGACACGCCUCAAAUGAUACAACUGUGUCCGCCUGAAUUUCGUUCUGAUUUCGGUUCUGAUGAAGUCAUCGCCGUCAGCCGUUUGCCCGACUGUUGACAGCCGAAGGACCAGAUCCGCAUGUCAAAAUAAGCUUUCUUUUUUUUUUCUAAUUAAUAAAAUUGUUUUAGUUUGGAUGUUAGUUUCGGAUCGAAAAAAAUUGUUUAA
Long non-coding RNA from Malaya genurostris, 710 nucleotides. RefSeq lists it as uncharacterized. The transcript has 2 exons. The record is from RefSeq and is a predicted model, not a curated record. Lineage: Eukaryota; Metazoa; Arthropoda; Insecta; Diptera; Culicidae.